RNAcentral lists this ribosomal RNA (465 nucleotides) under uncultured Thiovirga sp. RNAcentral describes it as "bacterial SSU rRNA". It matches the Rfam family "Bacterial small subunit ribosomal RNA", at positions 338 to 795 of the family's 1533-position model. The record is from RNAcentral. Lineage: Bacteria; Pseudomonadati; Pseudomonadota; Gammaproteobacteria; Chromatiales; Halothiobacillaceae.
CCUACGGGGGGCUGCAGUGGGGAAUAUUGGACAAUGGGCGCAAGCCUGAUCCAGCAAUGCCGCGUGUGUGAAGAAGGCCUUCGGGUUGUAAAGCACUUUUGUUAGGGAGGAAAGUCUGGUAGCUAAUAACUGCUAGAUCUGACGUUACCUAAAGAAUCAGCACCGGCUAACUCUGUGCCAGCAGCCGCGGUAAUACAGAGGGUGCAAGCGUUAAUCGGAAUUACUGGGCGUAAAGGGUGUGUAGGCGGAUUAUUAAGUCAGAUGUGAAAUCCCCGGGCUCAACCUGGGAACGGCAUUCGAUACUGGUAGUCUAGAGUGUGCAAGAGGAUGGGGGAAUUCCUGGUGUAGCAGUGAAAUGCGUAGAGAUCAGGAGGAACAUCAAUGGCGAAGGCACCUUUCUGGGGCAACACUGACGCUGAGAGACGAAAGCGUGGGGAGCAAACAGGCUUAGAUACCCUUGUAGUC